This 256-nucleotide ribosomal RNA is filed under the name uncultured bacterium. RNAcentral describes it as "partial 16S ribosomal RNA". It matches the Rfam family "Bacterial small subunit ribosomal RNA", at positions 521 to 776 of the family's 1533-position model. The record is from RNAcentral.
UAAUACGAAUGGAGCGAGCGUUGUUCGGAAUCACUGGGCGUAAAGCGUACGCAGGCGGUCUUGAAAGUCAGAAGUGAAAGCCCAGGGCUUAACCCUGGAAUGGCUUUUGAAACUCCAAGACUAGAGUACUGGAGAGGUUGGCGGAAUUCCGAGUGUAGAGGUGAAAUUCGCAGAUAUUCGGAGGAACACCAAUGGCGUAGGCAGCCAACUGGACAGUAACUGACGCUCAUGUACGAAAGCGUGGGGAUCAAACAGG